Molecule: ribosomal RNA, 651 nt
Filed under: uncultured bacterium
Lineage: Bacteria
Description: bacterial SSU rRNA
Rfam family: Bacterial small subunit ribosomal RNA
Source: RNAcentral
AGAGAGUAACGCGUAAGUAAUCUGUCCUGGCAUCUGGUAUAACCUAUCGAAAGGUGAGCUAAUACCGGAUACGUCCUGCGGGAGAAAGACCGCCUCUGUUGUAAGCGGUUGUGCGAGGAGGAGCUUGCGUACCAUUAGCUGGUUGGUGGGGUAACGGCCUACCAAGGCGACGAUGGUUAGCGGGUCUGAGAGGAUGAUCCGCCACACUGGAACUGAAACACGGACCAGACUCCUACGGGAGGCAGCAGUGAGGAAUAUUGCGCAAUGGGGGCAACCCUGACGCAGCGACGCCGCGUGGAUGAUGAAGGCCUUCGGGUUGUAAAAUCCUGUCAGAUGGGAAGAAGUGUACGAUGGUUAAGAGCUGUCGUAUUUGACGGUACCAUCAAAGGAAGCACCGGCUAACUCCGUGCCAGCAGCCGCGGUAAUACGGAGGGUGCGAGCGUUGUUCGGAUUUACUGGGCGUAAAGCGCGCGUAGGCGGUGUGAUCAGUCAGCUGUGAAAGCCCAUGGCUCAACCAUGGACGUGCAGUUGAAACUGUCAGACUUGAGUACUGGAGGGGGUGGUGGAAUUCCCGGUGUAGAGGUGAAAUUCGUAGAUAUCGGGAGGAAUACCGGUGGCGAAGGCGACCGCCUGGCCAGAUACUGACGCUGA